This 427-nucleotide ribosomal RNA is filed under the name Smithella sp. Its description in RNAcentral is "bacterial SSU rRNA". It matches the Rfam family "Bacterial small subunit ribosomal RNA", at positions 1 to 410 of the family's 1533-position model. The record is from RNAcentral. Lineage: Bacteria; Pseudomonadati; Thermodesulfobacteriota; Syntrophia; Syntrophales; Smithellaceae.
UUAAACUGGAGAGUUUGAUCCUGGCUCAGAACUAACGCUGGCGGCGUGCCUAACACAUGCAAGUCGUACGAGAAAGCCGGCUUCGGCUGGUGAGUAAAGUGGCGCACGGGUGAGUAACGCGUGGAUAAUCUGCCCUUAAGUGUGGAAUAACGUACCGAAAGGUGCGCUAAUACCGCAUAAUGCCUGGCAACACAAGUUGUCCGGCCAAAGAAGGCCUCUGUUUACAAGCUUUCGCUUCAGGAUGAGUCCGCGUACCAUUAGCUUGUUGGUGGGGUAAUGGCCUACCAAGGCUGCGAUGGUUAGCUGGUCUGAGAGGAUGAUCAGCCACACUGGAACUGAGACACGGUCCAGACUCCUACGGGAGGCAGCAGUGAGGAAUAUUGCGCAAUGGGGGCAACCCUGACGCAGCAACGCCGCGUGAGUGAGG